GCGGCUAUAGCUCAGGUGAGACAAAACCGAUGUACCUCUUCCGCAAACCGAAUUCUAACGCAACAGCAGCUGGGAGAGCGUCAGUACGUAAAUCUGAAGGUCCUGUGUUCGAUCCACAGUGGCCGCA
Molecule: transfer RNA, 127 nt
Filed under: Cladophialophora immunda
Lineage: Eukaryota; Fungi; Ascomycota; Eurotiomycetes; Chaetothyriales; Herpotrichiellaceae
Description: tRNA-Tyr (GTA) (tRNA-Tyr-GTA-1-1)
Source: RNAcentral